This 305-nucleotide long non-coding RNA is filed under the name Rattus norvegicus (Norway rat). Its description in RNAcentral is "long non-coding RNA NONRATT016932". Lineage: Eukaryota; Metazoa; Chordata; Mammalia; Rodentia; Muridae. The record is from RNAcentral.
GGCUCCUGGGUAGUACUCAAAAGAUGCCCCACCUGCCACAAGGACACAUGUUCCACCAUGUUCAUAGCAGCCUUAUUUGUGAUAGCCAGGAGCUGGAACCAACCCAGAUGUCCCUCGACAGAAGAAUGGAUUCAGAAAAUGUGGUUCAUUUACACAGUGGAGUACCGCUCAGCUAUUAAUCAUGUGUUUUGUGGGCAAAUGGAUGGAACUAGAAAAUAUCAUCCUGAGUGUGGUAACUCAGACCCAAAAGAACAUGCAUGGUAUGUACACACUAAUAAGUGGAUAUUAGCCAAAAAAAUACAGAA